This 253-nucleotide ribosomal RNA is filed under the name uncultured bacterium. RNAcentral's name for it is "partial 16S ribosomal RNA". It matches the Rfam family "Bacterial small subunit ribosomal RNA", at positions 524 to 776 of the family's 1533-position model. The record is from RNAcentral.
GACGAACCACACAAACGUUAUUCGGAAUUACUGGGCUUAAAGGGUGCGUAGGCGGCGCAGAAAGUAGGGUGUGAAAUCCCUCGGCUCAACCGAGGAACUGCGCCCUAAACUACUGUGCUCGAGGGAGGUAGAGGUGAGCGGAACUUAGGGUGGAGCGGUGAAAUGCGUUGAUAUCCUAAGGAACACCGGUGGCGAAAGCGGCUUACUGGGUCUCUUCUGACGCUGAUGCACGAAAGCUAGGGUAGCGAACGGG